This 460-nucleotide ribosomal RNA is filed under the name uncultured bacterium. RNAcentral's name for it is "partial 16S ribosomal RNA". It matches the Rfam family "Bacterial small subunit ribosomal RNA", at positions 338 to 795 of the family's 1533-position model. The record is from RNAcentral.
CCUACGUGUGGCAGCAGUGAGGAAUAUUGGUCAAUGGACGAGAGUCUGAACCAGCCAAGUAGCGUGAAGGAUGACUGCCCUAUGGGUUGUAAACUUCUUUUAUAAAGGAAUAAAACGAGGCACGUGUGCCUUGUUGCAUGUAAUUUAUGAAUAAGGAUCGGCUAACUCCGUGCCAGCAGCCGCGGGAAUACGGAGGAUCCGAGCGUUAGCCGGAUUUUUUUGGUUUAAAGGGAGCGUAGAUGGGUUGUUAAGUCAGUUGUGAAAGUUUGCGGCUCAACCGUAAAAUUGCAAUUGAUACUGGCAGUCUUGAGUACAGUUGAGGUAGUCGGAAUUCGUGGUGUAGCGGUGAAAUGCUUAGAUAUCACGAAGAACCCCGAUUGCGAAGGCAGCUUACUAAACUGUUACUGACAUUGAUGCUCGAAAGUGUGGGUAUCAAACAGGAUUAGAUACCCGGGUAGUC